CAUGCUCGCUAGGAUAUCGCAUCCUAUGCAUACGUAUCUUCUCGGACGAGAGAAGAAUCAGAGCAUUCGUAGCUCGGCUGACACGCACACAAACAAACACAGGCAAAGGCAAACGUGGAGCCUGAAUGCCAAUCACUGGACUUACAUCAGCAUCCGAACCAAACACACGCACACUGGAACCCAAAUGCCACUCGAUGGACUUACAUCGGCUUCCAAGCACACAACAACACAACAAGUUAAUAGGGAGUCGGGGACUCGAGCCUAUAACUGUCAAGCACACACUCAAACAAACAGACAACAAAUUGCUAAGGAGUCAGGCACUCGAGCCUAGCAACUGUCAAACAACACACACAAAA
Molecule: long non-coding RNA, 356 nt
Filed under: Lathyrus oleraceus (garden pea)
Lineage: Eukaryota; Viridiplantae; Streptophyta; Magnoliopsida; Fabales; Fabaceae
Description: Pisum sativum (pea) long non-coding RNA (PSAT_LNC011083)
Source: RNAcentral